This 366-nucleotide unclassified non-coding RNA is filed under the name Hevea brasiliensis (rubber tree). The record is from RNAcentral. Lineage: Eukaryota; Viridiplantae; Streptophyta; Magnoliopsida; Malpighiales; Euphorbiaceae.
GUAGGAUUGCUAAGUUGAUAUCUUCUAGCAAGAUUUAAUGAUCCAAAUGCACUUCUAUAAAUCGAAUCAUUCAUAGGGUUAAAUUCCAGUCCUGAAAUGAAAAGUACUCCAGAGUCUCUGUUUACAAGACACACAUGAAUGAUAUCAGUUGAAGAAAAAUGAACGAUCGAGUAUGUAUUCCAACCCAUAGCAUGUAGCCCUUGCACCUCCAUCCAAUAAUUAACCCCUAUAUACAAAUCAAACACCGGAGGUUGAUUCUUGCCAUUGUAAUUUCCAUAACAAAAGUGAGCUUUGAUGAAGCAAUUAUGAUUUUUUCCUUGUACAGGUCGCAGAGUGUAGCAAUUCUUUCUUCCCGUUGGAAAACUU